GAUAUAACGUCAGAUAUUAUCCUUAUAGUUUAGAUUGGAAUUUUUAUCUUGAUUUUUGAAUUAUUUAUGUUAAUUUUAGAAUUUUACCAUUGUGCAUAAAGCACAGUGCAUCACGAAGCCUAGACCGAUCUCAAAAAAUAGAUAUAUCGCGAACGAGGAUACAUUGAAUCAAGUGCUGGACAAUGUUAUUUUGCUUCGAAGAAAAAUCGUGACGAGCUUCUUGCUUUGACCGACCUUGGACUAUAUUCUUCAAUUGGUAUCGAUUCAAUAGCUACCAUAGGCGCGCAUACAACUAUGACAGCAACUGUGGCGAACGUUGUCUU
This is a long non-coding RNA of Trachymyrmex septentrionalis, 323 nucleotides long. RefSeq lists it as uncharacterized. Lineage: Eukaryota; Metazoa; Arthropoda; Insecta; Hymenoptera; Formicidae. The transcript has 3 exons. The record is from RefSeq and is a predicted model, not a curated record.